RNAcentral lists this ribosomal RNA (253 nucleotides) under uncultured bacterium. Its description in RNAcentral is "partial 16S ribosomal RNA". It matches the Rfam family "Bacterial small subunit ribosomal RNA", at positions 524 to 776 of the family's 1533-position model. The record is from RNAcentral.
UACAGAGGGUGCAAGCGUUAAUCGGAAUUACUGGGCGUAAAGCGCGCGUAGGUGGUUUUGUAAGUUGGAGGUGAAAUCCCCGGGCUCAACCUGGGAACUGCCUCCAAAACUGCAAAGCUAGAGUACGGUAGAGGGUGGUGGAAUUUCCUGUGUAGCGGUGAAAUGCGUAGAUAUAGGAAGGAACACCAGUGGCGAAGGCGACCACCUGGACUGAUACUGACACUGAGGUGCGAAAGCGUGGGGAGCAAACAGG